This 398-nucleotide long non-coding RNA is filed under the name Astyanax mexicanus (Mexican tetra). RNAcentral's name for it is "lncRNA (ENSAMXG00005002508.1)". Lineage: Eukaryota; Metazoa; Chordata; Actinopteri; Characiformes; Acestrorhamphidae. The record is from RNAcentral.
AGACCAACCAGAACAGCUGCCAACAUGAAGCUUCUGGUGUGUGCCCUCGUACUGGUGCUGGUGUGCAGUGAGACUGUGCAUUCCCUCAAGUGUUUCACUUGUGUGAACGGGAACUGUAAGACUGCUACAGAAUGCCCAGAAUCAAGCAACUUCUGCAAAACCGUGGUGGGAUACGACUCCCUCAGUCGGACCUGUGAGGAGUUUUGUGUGCCUGGAGUUAAUAUCUACUGCUGCCAGGAGGAUCUGUGUGGCUGAGACCCAGCUAACCUCUGCAAUUCUGCUGAAUCAUGAGCUUAAUCAAAGAGUUAUAAUAAUAAUAACCAUAUAAAAAUGACCAUAAUCCUCCUAAUUAACUGUAUCCAAUGAUUCUUAAUUCUUAAAUAAAAGCCUGCAGCAUC